AUUAUUAAAGGGCCGCGGUAUUCCUGACCGUGCGAAGGUAGCAUAAUCAUUAGUCUUUUAAUUGAAGGCUUGUAUGAAAGGUUGGACGAAAAAUGGACUGUUUCAAAUAAAAAGAUUGAAUUUAACUUUUAAGUGAAAAGGCUUAAAUAAAUUAAAAAGACGAUAAGACCCUAUAAAUCUUUACAUUUGUUAUUAUAGGUUUUGGAUUGUGUGUGUAAAAAAAAAUAUAAUAAAAAUGUUGUGUUGGGGCAACAGUGAUAUAGUAAUAUUAAUUGUUAAAAAUAAAAACAAAUAUAUUUGUUAAAUAAAGAUCCUUUUUAAAGAUUUAAAGAUUAAGUUACUUUAGGGA
This 349-nucleotide ribosomal RNA is filed under the name Clibanarius antillensis. RNAcentral describes it as "partial 16S ribosomal RNA". The stretch from base 1 to 146 matches the Rfam family "Archaeal large subunit ribosomal RNA", at positions 1996 to 2143 of the family's 2987-position model. Lineage: Eukaryota; Metazoa; Arthropoda; Malacostraca; Decapoda; Diogenidae. The record is from RNAcentral.